AGAGUUUGAUUCUGGCUCAGGAUGAACGCUGGCGGCGUGUUUAACACAUGCAAGUCGAGCGAGAAACUUCUCAGUUGAUUCUUCGGAUGAAACAGAGUUGUGGAAAGCGGCGGACGGGUGAGUAACGCGUAGGCAACCUGCCCCUUGCAGAGGGAUAGCCUCGGGAAACCGGGAUUAAAACCUCAUAAUGCGGCACUGAGACAUCUCGGAGCCGCCAAAGAUUUAUCGGCAAGGGAUGGGCCUGCGUCUGAUUAGUUAGUUGGUGGGGUAACGGCCUACCAAGGCGACGAUCAGUAGCCGACCUGAGAGGGUGAUCGGCCACAUUGGAACUGAGACACGGUCCAAACUCCUACGGGAGGCAGCAGUGGAGAAUCUUGCACAAUGGGCGAAAGCCUGAUGCAGCAACGCCGCGUGAAGGAUGAAGGCCCUUGGGUCGUAAACUUCUGUUCUAAGGGAAGAUAAUGACGGUACCUUAGGAGCAAGUCCCGGCUAACUACGUGCCAGCCGCCGC
This 511-nucleotide ribosomal RNA is filed under the name uncultured bacterium. RNAcentral's name for it is "bacterial SSU rRNA". It matches the Rfam family "Bacterial small subunit ribosomal RNA", at positions 8 to 518 of the family's 1533-position model. The record is from RNAcentral.